AUAGCAAGAAAGAUUCCACUGCCAACACAAAUCGUUCAGACUCUGAAGCAGUUGAAGUAAUCACUUUUUAGAUCCAACCAUUGCUAGUUUAUCUGGAAACAUACCUCUAAAAAAAACUUUAGCUGGAAACAAAUGGACAGGAAACAUACCCCAAAUGUCCACGGGUGUCAAAGGUCUCUGGCUGGGGCGAGCUACUAUGCAAGUACUCAAAGGCAAUCAGGGAACGAUAUAUCGGUUGAUUGGGAAGAGGUACUACGAGAGAGAGAAGGUGAGGUGCAAGUGCAAUUGACUCAGUCGCGAGAACGCCAGUGGCGUGUCGUUGGAAUGACAAUAAGCACCACGGGAAGUGGUCUUCGCCGACCGGCCAGAAUUAAUUGGUGCGAAAAGUCCGUGGAGGAGGGUGCGGGCGGUCGAUCGGAGGUGGAGACCUACCAUGGUGGUGGUGGCGCCGGUGUGGACGAGGCAGCUCGCGACAUGCAUGGACUAGAGAGUACAGGGCCAAUCUUCCUCGCAUCUUCGUACGUCCACGCCCUCCCUCAGGUCACUAGCGUCGACUCAGUCCC
This 563-nucleotide ribosomal RNA is filed under the name Triticum aestivum (bread wheat). RNAcentral's name for it is "partial small subunit ribosomal RNA". Lineage: Eukaryota; Viridiplantae; Streptophyta; Magnoliopsida; Poales; Poaceae. The record is from RNAcentral.